This is a long non-coding RNA of Meriones unguiculatus (Mongolian gerbil), 1745 nucleotides long. RefSeq lists it as uncharacterized. The record is from RefSeq and is a predicted model, not a curated record. The transcript is spliced from 5 exons. Lineage: Eukaryota; Metazoa; Chordata; Mammalia; Rodentia; Muridae.
GUGACCUUCUCACAACUCUUCCUGGACAACUCCUCCGAGGAGCCAGGUGGCUGGCUCCCUGGCGCAGGGCCUGGGCUCAGCAUGGGCACUUCUGUGUGGGCAUGCUGCUCGGGGGUCCCGGCCUGGCCCUGUGGCUGGGACCAGGAGCACUGGAGCAGACUGGGAGCUUAGAACUCUCAUCCGGACCUCUGGGCUCUGGAUUCAGCGUUUGCAGCGAGCACAUCAUCUCGGGUCAUGAAAUUGCUACCUCAUUGAAGCAUGAUAUUUGAGGAGACCGACAUCAAUGUUCCUGGGUAAUGGUCCACUCAUAUUUGGCUCCAGAAUAAAUCAUGUAUUUUAUUCCUUUAAGGGACCCUAGUGAUUACACCAGGCCCAGCCCAGUACCUCAGGCUGUGAUGUUGCCACCAUCCGGGUCACAUUACCCUUUGCUUAGGCCUGCUGCAGCAGCCUCCGAGCUUGGCCUCUAUGAAUGAAGUUUUGGGGCUCACUUACAGAGCAUGCGUGAAAGGUGAGUGGGUGACCGCCUCAGUGCGACCAUACUGAAAAGUCUGCACCUGGCAUGGAUGAUGGCUUCCUCAGACCUGUGCGGAUGGAGCCCCUCACCUUCCUCCCCAGCCUGCCUGCUCCUGCUCUCCGAGAUGCCAAAGCUGCCCGCAAGCAAUUAGGGCAGACUCACAUUCAAAUGGCAUGGAGGAGAGGCUAGCUACUCACUGAGGGUCAGAUGACACCUCCUCCUAACUCCAUACACACACACCUCACACCUCCUCCUGCGAGGGAACAUAGACAGUCAACACGUCUAGCUGAGAGAAGAUUUGGCAUCGGGCACAGCUGAACUCAUGAAAAUGGCGUCUGUUUGGUUCCACAGAUAGUGCUGGACAACAGCCUCUCCACCCACCCAAACACCCCCUCCUCUCGAGCAGAUGAGCACUUUAGUAUGUGCCUGGGACCACAGCAAUCACUCCUCUGUCUAAAACCCUGUGGGCUCCCCCAUCGCCCUCCGAGACCCGGCCAACCUUCAGCAUAGCACAAUGGCUCCAGGUAUGGCCAGGUAGUCCAUACCAUUGCUCAGCUCUCUUUGCUGGGCUGACAAGCAUCCCCUGGGCUGUUCUAGAUUUAGCACUCUGGCAUCUUGGAAAACUCCUCAGUCCAGGGCAAACCAGGCUGGCCUGCCUCCUACCACACCUGCCUGCCUCUUGCUUUCGCAACAGCAGCUGCUGGAGUUCCCUUCAUUCAGGAAGCAGGGACCCCCCUUCCCGCCAGACUUUUCCCACUCUGGUGCCCAUUAGGACUCUGUUGAGCUGCAAGAAACUGAGAACUAGCCAGGCAUGCCUUAAUUCUGGCACUUCGAAGGUAGAAGGCAGGUAGAUCUUAGUGAGUUCCACACCACUUCCAAUGGUCUACAUAGUGAGUUCUUGGCUGGCCAGAGCUACACAGUAAGACCCUGUCUAAAAAGACAGAAAGAAAAAAAAUGAAGAGUGGCUAAAACAAAUGCAGGUCUAUCUAUCUAUCUAUCUAUCUAUCUAUCUAUCUACUUUUCACACAGCAAAGAAAUUCAGAGGGGGAUGAUUGCUAUCCUCAGGUCUGCAUCUGAUGACUGCAUCAGAGUGCAGGCUGAGCAAGACACGGGGAGCAAGCCAGUAAGCAGCAUCCUCCCAUGACCUCUGCAUCAGCUCCUGCCUCAGGUUCCUGCCCUGUUUGAGCUCCUGCCCUGACUUCCUUCAGUGGUGUAUGUGAUGUAGAAGUGU